RNAcentral lists this ribosomal RNA (497 nucleotides) under uncultured bacterium. Its description in RNAcentral is "partial 16S ribosomal RNA". It matches the Rfam family "Bacterial small subunit ribosomal RNA", at positions 28 to 507 of the family's 1533-position model. The record is from RNAcentral.
GAUGAACGCUGGCGGCGUGCCUAAUACAUGCAAGUCGAGCGAACAGACGAGGAGCUUGCUCCUCUGACGUUAGCGGCGGACGGGUGAGUAACACGUGGAUAACCUACCUAUAAGACUGGGAUAACUUCGGGAAACCGGAGCUAAUACCGGAUAAUAUAUUGAACCGCAUGGUUCAAUAGUGAAAGACGGUUUUGCUGUCACUUAUAGAUGGAUCCGCGCCGCAUUAGCUAGUUGGUAAGGUAACGGCUUACCAAGGCAACGAUGCGUAGCCGACCUGAGAGGGUGAUCGGCCACACUGGAACUGAGACACGGUCCAGACUCCUACGGGAGGCAGCAGUAGGGAAUCUUCCGCAAUAGGCGAAAGCUUGACGGAGCAACGCCGCGUGAGUGAUGAAGGUCUUCGGAUCGUAAAACUCUGUUAUUAGGGAAGAACAAAUGUGUAAGUAACUAUGCACGUCUUGACGGUACCUAAUCAGAAAGCCACGGCUAACUACGUG